AUGAUGAACAAAGUUGGCAAUGUGGCUUAUAAAUUGUUGCUUCCAGCACAAUCUCAAAUCCACCCAGUUUUUCAUAUUAGCCAGCUUAAGAAACACAUUGGCUCGACAACGAUUCCCUGUGCAGACCUACCUUUAAUUGGACCCAAUGGACAGAUCAGAACGGAACCAGUACUUGUAUUGGAGAUCCGCCAAGUUCCGAGGAAUAAUAUACCUGUGGUGCAGUGGCUGGUACAAUGGGAAAAUUUACCACUUGAAGAUGCUUCGUGGGAAGACGCCAAUUUCAUCAAGCACACGUUUCUGAGGGUUUUUCAAGCAAACGGUGGAGAGCUGGUGCAAGCACGGCCCACCUUGAGGACAAGGUGUGUUUCGACAGGGAGGCACUGUCAGGUAUCUGAAGUGUAA
This 402-nucleotide ribosomal RNA is filed under the name Triticum aestivum (bread wheat). RNAcentral describes it as "partial small subunit ribosomal RNA". The record is from RNAcentral. Lineage: Eukaryota; Viridiplantae; Streptophyta; Magnoliopsida; Poales; Poaceae.